RNAcentral lists this ribosomal RNA (3113 nucleotides) under Canibacter oris. Its description in RNAcentral is "Bacterial large subunit ribosomal RNA". It matches the Rfam family "Bacterial large subunit ribosomal RNA". The record is from Rfam by way of RNAcentral. Lineage: Bacteria; Bacillati; Actinomycetota; Actinomycetes; Micrococcales; Microbacteriaceae.
UUGCAAGUUCUUAAGAGCGAACGGUGGAUGCCUUGGCAUCUGGAGCCGAAGAAGGACGUAGUAAUCUGCGAUAAGCCUCGGGGAGUUGAUAAACGAGCGUUAUAUCCGAGGAUUUCCGAAUGGGGAAACCCAGCAGGCGCCUAUAUGGUUGCUUGUUACUCCCGCCUGAAUAUAUAGGGCGGGUAGAGGGAACGUGGGGAAGUGAAACAUCUCAGUACCCACAGGAAGAGAAAACAACAUGUGAUUCCGGGAGUAGUGGCGAGCGAAACUGGAUGAGGCUAAACCGUGCGUGUGUGAUACUCGGUAGGGGUUGCACGUGCGGGGUUGUGGGACAUGCUUGAUUGUUCUACCGGACUUUCAGCGUAUGUUGUGCGUAUAGGAGAACACCUUGGAAGGGGUGACCGGAGUGGGUGAGAGUCCCGUAUCUGAAAUGCGUGCGCAGCGUGGUGUGUAUCCCGAGUAGCGCGGGGCCCGUGAAAUCCCGUGUGAAUCUGCCAGGACCACCUGGUAAGCCUAAAUACUACCAGAUGACCGAUAGCGGACUAGUACCGUGAGGGAAAGGUGAAAAGUACCCCGGGAGGGGAGUGAAAUAGUACCUGAAACCGUUUGCUUACAAUCCGUCAGAGCCUCCUUGUAGGGGUGAUGGCGUGCCUUUUGAAGAAUGAGCCUGCGAGUUAGCGGCAUGUGGCGAGGUUAACCCGUGUGGGGUAGCCGUAGCGAAAGCGAGUCUGAAUAGGGCGAUUUGAGUCGCGUGUCCUAGACCCGAAGCGAAGUGAUCUAGCCAUGGCCAGGCUGAAGCACGUGUAAGAGCGUGUGGAGGGCCGAACCCACUUAGGUUGAAAACUGAGGGGAUGAGCUGUGGUUAGGGGUGAAAGGCCAAUCAAACUUCGUGAUAGCUGGUUCUCUCCGAAAUGCAUUUAGGUGCAGCGUUAUGUGUUUCUUGCCGGAGGUAGAGCUACUGGAUGGCCGAUGGGCCCUACAAGGUUACUGACGUCAGCUAAACUCCGAAUGCCGGUAAGUGAGAGCGUAGCAGUGAGACUGCGGGGGAUAAUCUUCGUAGUCGAGAGGGAAACAACCCAGAUCAUCAUCUAAGGUCCCAAAGCGUGUGCUAAGUGGAAAAGGAUGUGGAGUUGCUUAGACAACCAGGAGGUUGGCUUAGAAGCAGCCACCCUUGAAAGAGUGCGUAAUAGCUCACUGGUCAAGUGAUUCCGCGCCGAUAAUGUAACGGGGCUCAAGCACACCACCGAAGAUAUGGCAAUCAACAGUUAGACUAGCAUUUUGUGUUCAGUUUGUUGGUUGGGUAGGAGAGCGUCGUGUCACGAGUGAAGCAGCAGAGUGAUCUAGUUGUGGAUGUGACACGAGUGAGAAUGCAGGCAUGAGUAGCGAAAGACGGGUGAGAAACCCGUCCUCCGGAAGACCAAGGGUUCCAGGGUCAAGCUAAUCUGCCCUGGGUAAGUCGGGACCUAAGGCGAGGCCGACAGGCGUAGUCGAUGGACAACGGGUUGAUAUUCCCGUACCGGCUGGUAACCGUUCAACACAAUCCAUUAAGUGCUAAGAAAAUUUUUCCUGGUUUACUUCCUUUCGGGGUUGUUUACUGGGUGUGUUUUCGAACCCGGUUUUGGUGCGUGAGCGUGAGGUGUGACGCAGGAAGGUAGGUAAUCCCGGGCGAUGGUUGUCCCGGGCUAAGCAUGUAGCCUGUUCCUUAUUAAUAGUUUGGGACAUUGGGUGAGAUGUGAUGGGGAGCCGUUUUGGUGAAGUUACUGAUCCUAUGCUGCCGAGAAAAGCAUCGGCGUGAGGUUGCUGGUUGCCCGUACCCCAAACCGACUCAGGUGGUCAGGUAGAGAAUACUAAGGAGAUCGAGAUAAUCGUGGUGAAGGAACUCGGCAAAAUGCCCCCGUAACUUAGGGAGAAGGGGGGCCAUCCGCUUAUACCCACUUGCUGGGGAAAGGGUGUGGUGGCCGCAGAGACCAGUGGGAAGCGACUGUUUACUAAAAACACAGGUCCGUGCUAACAAGCAAUUGGAUGUAUACGGACUGACGCCUGCCCGGUGCUGGAAGGUUAAGAGGAGAGGUUAACACUUUGGUGUGAAGCUUUGAAUUUAAGCCCCAGUAAACGGCGGUGGUAACUAUAACCAUCCUAAGGUAGCGAAAUUCCUUGUCGGGUAAGUUCCGACCUGCACGAAUGGCGUAACGACUUCCCAGCUGUCUCCACCGCGAACUCGGCGAAAUUGCAUUACGAGUAAAGAUGCUCGUUACGCGCAGCAGGACGGAAAGACCCCGUGACCUUUACUACAGCUUGGUAUUGGUGUUCGGUGUGGCUUGUGUAGGAUAGGUGGGAGACUUUGAAGCAGUAACGCCAGUUAUUGUGGAGUCGUUGUUGAAAUACCACUCUGGUCACUCUGGAUAUCUAACUACGGACCCUGAUCGGGUUCUGGGACAGUGCCUGGUGGGUAGUUUAACUGGGGCGGUUGCCUCCCAAAAAGUAACGGAGGCGCUCAAAGGUUCCCUCAACCUGGUUGGCAAUCAGGUGGCGAGUGUAAGUGCACAAGGGAGCUUGACUGUGAGACUGACAGGUCGAGCAGGUACGAAAGUAGGAACUAGUGAUCCGGCAGUGGCUUGUGGAAGCGCUGUCGCUCAACGGAUAAAAGGUACCUCGGGGAUAACAGGCUGAUCUUGCCCAAGAGUCCAUAUCGACGGCAUGGUUUGGCACCUCGAUGUCGGCUCGUCGCAUCCUGGGGCUGGAGUUGGUCCCAAGGGUUGGGCUGUUCGCCCAUUAAAGCGGUACGCGAGCUGGGUUUAGAACGUCGUGAGACAGUUCGGUCCCUAUCCGCUGCGUGCGUUGGAAAUUUGAGAGGAUCUGGCCCUAGUACGAGAGGACCGGGUUGGACGGACCUCUGGUGUGCCAGUUGUACCGCCAGGUGCAUGGCUGGUUGGCUACGUUCGGGAUGGAUAACCGCUGAAGGCAUCUAAGCGGGAAGCCGGCCUCAAGAUGAGAUUUCCUUACCAACUUGUUUGGUGUGAGGUCCCCUACAGACUAUGGGGUUGAUAGGCCAGAUGUGGAAGCACAGUAAUGUGUGGAGCUGACUGGUACUAAUAGACCGAAGACUUGUAAAC